Molecule: long non-coding RNA, 1259 nt
Organism: Xiphophorus couchianus (Monterrey platyfish)
Lineage: Eukaryota; Metazoa; Chordata; Actinopteri; Cyprinodontiformes; Poeciliidae
Exons: 3
Source: RefSeq, a predicted model, not a curated record
CAACAAACAAAUGUUAUUUUUUGUUUUAAUCCAUUAAAAAUGUAAAUUAGAAACAUUUUUCUUUUAAGAACUUUAAAAACAAACAAUAAGAAGAUCAAAUCAAUCCUAAACUGAACAGGGAGACUGUGAAGAUAUUAAAAUAUUGGUGUGAUGUGAUCAUGUUUCUUAGAUUGAGUUAGGAGAUGGCGGGAGUCUGUAGACUGGUUCAUGCCAAAACAAAGCAAAUUGCAAUAAUCCAGUCACAAAGGUAUAAAGCAGUCGCAGCUAUUUCAAUGCUGUUAUAAUCUAGAAAGAUUUUGGCCUUUGCCAGGAGCUCAUCCUGAUAACAUUGUUUGUCAAGUUGAAAUUUGAGUAAAGGAGCACACCAAGAUUUUUGACUGUGGGAACGCAGCUGAAAGAAGUAUUAAGGCCAGUUACUUCCCCUUCCCCAAACACUAUAUGUUUAUUUUUUGUCCUUGUUUAAAUAUGAUAAACACGAGUCAACCUCUGCUUAAUACCUGACAUUCAAGGAAGUAAUAGCUUCAUGGCUGAUGGAAUUUAUUGACAGAUGCAUGUCAUCUGCAUAGCAGUGAAAGGUCAGGCUGUAGUUAUUCUUCACACACAAGCUGUAAUAUUACUUCUACCAGAGAGGACAGGGAGUUAGGUUAAAAUAGAUUAACACAUUUAUUUAUUUAUCCUUCGUUGAGCAAACAUAUGUCUUCUACUCCUAAUAUGACUCAACCCAGUUCAGUUAUAAAAAGAAAAACAAUUUUACAGUAAUUACAGUUCCAUCAAAAGUAUUCAAGAAAAUCUGCAGAUAGCAAAUACAUACACGUAAAAUCUUUAGCAAGAAGUAGAAGAAACAGGAUAAACUAUAGUGUGGUGUACAUCCACUGCAUUCUAAACCGUGGAGAUUCUAUUUCUAUUCCAACAACAAAAUACUAUAGCAUUUUACUUCUAGUAUACUCAAGUUAUUUUUCAUGACCUUCAGGGGAUUGAAAAGAGGCUAAGGCCUCACUCCAAUUUAGUAGAGCUCCUCUGGCUGCUUACACAUGAGCAAAUAACUUAUGUGGCAAUAAUAACUCACACCAGAAAAACUUAAACAUAUACAAAGCUAAAUCAAAACGCCUUAAAUUUGUGUGAAAACUGUAGCAAGGCACUGUAUUACGCAGUUUUGGAAGGAACACAAUGUCUAAGGCAGUUAAACACUGCCCUCUUCUGGACGACAUGGUGAAAUUAUCUGAACACACAAGGGAAAGACGAAAAUAAACAUCUUUCUU